AUGCAAACCCUGGCUCCUCUGCCUCAGCGCCGCAGAGGGGAGAGGGAGCGAGAAGAAGAACAGGCGACCCGACGCGCCAUGGAGUUCCUAAUGCAGCCAGUCCACAGACCCACUAUUUUUGAGGAGGUCGGGAAGAGCCUGGUGCCGGAAGGUUCGCCGGCAUUUGGGACAAGGCGAACGGCGGUUGAGGUGGUGCUGCACGAGGGAAUAGUUUUGAGCGGGGACGAGCGGGUCUGCCCGGCGUCAGGAGCGGCGACGUUGAGUGGCCAAGGACGAAUCUGUAGUGGUGCGCCGGCGGCGGCUAUGAGCGGCAAAGGACGAAUAUGCAGCGUGGUGCAGGCGGCAGUGGUGAGAAAUUAUCAGGUUGCGGAUUGGUGCUGCUGGCCCCAACAGGCACCUUGCACUACCUGUGUAAGCACGUUCGAGAAGGCAGUGGGGGUGUCCACGGAAAAGCCGACGGCAGAUAAUGUAAUCAUUCAAGUGCUGGGUACUGGUACCUUUGACUCGCUUGGAGAAGCAUAUGAUUUGUACAACUUGUAUUCUUGGGAGGAAAGGAUUUGGUAUAAGAUAUGGGAAAAGCUAGUUAAAUGUGGAGAGGGUGAAGUGCAUGCAGGAAAUUGUCUGCCGGUGUUCGGGGGAAAGCUGGUGUGGAGAACACAAGGUCCCUUCGGUGUGAAUGCCCAGCGUUGA
RNAcentral lists this ribosomal RNA (690 nucleotides) under Triticum aestivum (bread wheat). RNAcentral's name for it is "partial small subunit ribosomal RNA". The record is from RNAcentral. Lineage: Eukaryota; Viridiplantae; Streptophyta; Magnoliopsida; Poales; Poaceae.